Molecule: ribosomal RNA, 2926 nt
Filed under: Salmonella enterica subsp. enterica serovar Indiana
Lineage: Bacteria; Pseudomonadati; Pseudomonadota; Gammaproteobacteria; Enterobacterales; Enterobacteriaceae
Description: 23S ribosomal RNA
Rfam family: Bacterial large subunit ribosomal RNA
Source: RNAcentral
GGGUUGUGAGGUUAAGCGACUAAGCGUACACGGUGGAUGCCCUGGCAGUCAGAGGCGAUGAAGGACGUGCUAAUCUGCGAUAAGCGCCGGUAAGGUGAUAUGAACCGUUAUAACCGGCGAUUUCCGAAUGGGGAAACCCAGUGUGACUCGUCACACUAUCAUUAACUGAAUCCAUAGGUUAAUGAGGCGAACCGGGGGAACUGAAACAUCUAAGUACCCCGAGGAAAAGAAAUCAACCGAGAUUCCCCCAGUAGCGGCGAGCGAACGGGGAGGAGCCCAGAGCCUGAAUCAGCAUGUGUGUUAGUGGAAGCGUCUGGAAAGGCGCGCGAUACAGGGUGACAGCCCCGUACACAAAAGCGCAUGUGCUGUGAGCUCGAUGAGUAGGGCGGGACACGUGGUAUCCUGUCUGAAUAUGGGGGGACCAUCCUCCAAGGCUAAAUACUCCUGACUGACCGAUAGUGAACCAGUACCGUGAGGGAAAGGCGAAAAGAACCCCGGCGAGGGGAGUGAAAAAGAACCUGAAACCGUGUACGUACAAGCAGUGGGAGCACCCUUCGGGGUGUGACUGCGUACCUUUUGUAUAAUGGGUCAGCGACUUAUAUUCUGUAGCAAGGUUAACCGAAUAGGGGAGCCGGAGGGAAACCGAGUCUUAAUUGGGCGUUAAGUUGCAGGGUAUAGACCCGAAACCCGGUGAUCUAGCCAUGGGCAGGUUGAAGGUUGGGUAACACUAACUGGAGGACCGAACCGACUAAUGUUGAAAAAUUAGCGGAUGACCUGUGGCUGGGGGUGAAAGGCCAAUCAAACCGGGAGAUAGCUGGUUCUCCCCGAAAGCUAUUUAGGUAGCGCCUCGUGAAUUCAUCUCCGGGGGUAGAGCACUGUUUCGGCUAGGGGGCCAUCCCGGCUUACCAACCCGAUGCAAACUGCGAAUACCGGAGAAUGUUAUCACGGGAGACACACGGCGGGUGCUAACGUCCGUCGUGAAGAGGGAAACAACCCAGACCGCCAGCUAAGGUCCCAAAGUCAUGGUUAAGUGGGAAACGAUGUGGGAAGGCCCAGACAGCCAGGAUGUUGGCUUAGAAGCAGCCAUCAUUUAAAGAAAGCGUAAUAGCUCACUGGUCGAGUCGGCCUGCGCGGAAGAUGUAACGGGGCUAAACCAUGCACCGAAGCUGCGGCAGCGACACUGUGUGUUGUUGGGUAGGGGAGCGUUCUGUAAGCCUGCGAAGGUGGCCUGUGAGGGUUGCUGGAGGUAUCAGAAGUGCGAAUGCUGACAUAAGUAACGAUAAAGCGGGUGAAAAGCCCGCUCGCCGGAAGACCAAGGGUUCCUGUCCAACGUUAAUCGGGGCAGGGUGAGUCGACCCCUAAGGCGAGGCCGAAAGGCGUAGUCGAUGGGAAACGGGUUAAUAUUCCCGUACUUGGUGUUACUGCGAAGGGGGGACGGAGAAGGCUAUGUUGGCCGGGCGACGGUUGUCCCGGUUUAAGCGUGUAGGUGUGUGUUCCAGGUAAAUCCGGUUCACUUUAACACUGAGGCGUGACGACGAGGCACUACGGUGCUGAAGCAACAAAUGCCCUGCUUCCAGGAAAAGCCUCUAAGCAUCAGGUAACAUCAAAUCGUACCCCAAACCGACACAGGUGGUCAGGUAGAGAAUACCAAGGCGCUUGAGAGAACUCGGGUGAAGGAACUAGGCAAAAUGGUGCCGUAACUUCGGGAGAAGGCACGCUGACACGUAGGUGAAGUGAUUUACUCAUGGAGCUGAAGUCAGUCGAAGAUACCAGCUGGCUGCAACUGUUUAUUAAAAACACAGCACUGUGCAAACACGAAAGUGGACGUAUACGGUGUGACGCCUGCCCGGUGCCGGAAGGUUAAUUGAUGGGGUCAGCGCAAGCGAAGCUCCUGAUCGAAGCCCCGGUAAACGGCGGCCGUAACUAUAACGGUCCUAAGGUAGCGAAAUUCCUUGUCGGGUAAGUUCCGACCUGCACGAAUGGCGUAAUGAUGGCCAGGCUGUCUCCACCCGAGACUCAGUGAAAUUGAACUCGCUGUGAAGAUGCAGUGUACCCGCGGCAAGACGGAAAGACCCCGUGAACCUUUACUAUAGCUUGACACUGAACAUUGAGCCUUGAUGUGUAGGAUAGGUGGGAGGCUUUGAAGUGUGGACGCCAGUCUGCAUGGAGCCGACCUUGAAAUACCACCCUUUAAUGUUUGAUGUUCUAACGUGGACCCGUAAUCCGGGUUGCGGACAGUGUCUGGUGGGUAGUUUGACUGGGGCGGUCUCCUCCUAAAGAGUAACGGAGGAGCACGAAGGUUGGCUAAUCCUGGUCGGACAUCAGGAGGUUAGUGCAAUGGCAUAAGCCAGCUUGACUGCGAGCGUGACGGCGCGAGCAGGUGCGAAAGCAGGUCAUAGUGAUCCGGUGGUUCUGAAUGGAAGGGCCAUCGCUCAACGGAUAAAAGGUACUCCGGGGAUAACAGGCUGAUACCGCCCAAGAGUUCAUAUCGACGGCGGUGUUUGGCACCUCGAUGUCGGCUCAUCACAUCCUGGGGCUGAAGUAGGUCCCAAGGGUAUGGCUGUUCGCCAUUUAAAGUGGUACGCGAGCUGGGUUUAGAACGUCGUGAGACAGUUCGGUCCCUAUCUGCCGUGGGCGCUGGAGAACUGAGGGGGGCUGCUCCUAGUACGAGAGGACCGGAGUGGACGCAUCACUGGUGUUCGGGUUGUCAUGCCAAUGGCACUGCCCGGUAGCUAAAUGCGGAAGAGAUAAGUGCUGAAAGCAUCUAAGCACGAAACUUGCCCCGAGAUGAGUUCUCCCUGAGACUUAGAGUCUCCUGAAGGAACGUUGAAGACGACGACGUUGAUAGGCCGGGUGUGUAAGCGCAGCGAUGCGUUGAGCUAACCGGUACUAAUGAACCGUGAGGCUUAACCUUACAACGCCGAAG